This 2937-nucleotide long non-coding RNA is filed under the name Triticum aestivum (bread wheat). RNAcentral describes it as "long non-coding RNA (TAES_LNC017704)". The record is from RNAcentral. Lineage: Eukaryota; Viridiplantae; Streptophyta; Magnoliopsida; Poales; Poaceae.
UUUUGUCGCAAGAAGGGUCAUCUUCACACAAUCCCAUGUAAUGAACAAGAAUGGGAUAAAGAGUUGGCUUACAAUCGCCACUUCACACAAUACAUAAUAAAAUCAUACAUCAUUCAAGAUACACACACAGGUCCGACUACGGAACCAAAAGAAAAGAAGACAACCCAACUGUUAGAUCCCUGAUCGUCCCAACUAGGCUCCACUACUGAUCAACAUGAAAAGAAACAACACAACGAACAAGAUCUUCAUCGAGCUCCCACUUGAGCUCAGUUGCGUCACCUACACUGGUAUCAUCGGCACCUGCAACUGUUUUGGAAGUAUCUAUGAGUCACGAGGACUCAGCAAUCUCACACCCGCGAGAUCAAGACUAUUUAAGCUUAUAGGAAAGGAUGGUGUAAUGAGGUGGAGCUGCAGCAGGCACUAAGCAUAUAUGGUGGCUAACAUACGCAAAUAAGAGCGAGAAGAGAAGCAACGGAAUGGUCGUGAACUAGCAAUGAUCAAGAAGUGAUCCUGAACCUCUACUUACGUCAAACAUAACCCAGAAACCGUGUUCACUUCUCGUACUCCGCCUAGAAGAGACCAUCAUGGAUACACACGCGGUUGAUGCGUUUUAAUUAGGGUCAAGUGUCAAGUUCUCUACAACCGGAUAUUAACAAAUUCCCAUCUGCCACAUAACCGCGGGCACGGCUUUCGAAAGAUAAUACCCUGCAGGGGUGUCCCAACUUAGCCCAUCAUAAGCUCUCACGGUCAACGAAGGAUAAACCUUCUCCCAGGAAGACCCGAUCAGUCUCGGAAUCCCGGUUUACAAGACAUUUUGACAAUGGUAAAACAAAACCAGCAAAGCCGCCCGAUGUGCCGAUAAAUCCCGAUAGGAGCUGCACAUAUCUCGUUCUCAGGGCAACACCGGAUGAGACAUCCUACGAGUAAAACCAGACCUCGAGUUUCCACGAGGGGGCCUCGCGGUCUACUCAGUUCGGACCAACACUCGAAGGAGCACUGGCCCGGGGGGGUUAAAAUAAGAUGACCCUUGAGUCUGCAGAACCCAAGGGAAAAGGGGAUAGGUGGUAGCAAAUGGUAAAACCAAGGUUGGGCCUUGCUGGAGGAGUUUUAUUCAAAGCGAACUGUCAAGGGGGUCCCAUAAAUCACCCAACCGCGUAAGGAACGCAAAAUCAAGGAACAUAACACCGGUAUGACGGAAACUAGGGCGGCAAGAGUGGACUAAACACCAGGCAUAAGGCUGAGCCUUCCACCCUUUACCAAGUAUAUAGAUGCAUUAAUUAAAUAAGAGAUAUUGUGAUAUCCCAACAUAUCCAUGUUCCAACAUGGAACAAACUUCAACUUCACCUGCAACUAACAACGCUAUAAGAGGGGCUGAGCAAAAGCGGUAACAUAGCCAAACAACGGUUUGCUAGGAAGGGUGACAAAGGUUAGAGGUGGUUUCAUGGCAAUUUGGGAGGCAUGAUAUAGCAAGUGGUAGGUAGCGCAGCAUAGCAAUAGAGCGAACAACUAGCAAGCAAAGAUAGAAGUGAUUUCGAGGGUAUGGUCAUCUUGCCUGAGAUCCCGCUAGGAAGAAGAACGAGUCCAUGAAGAAGACAAACGGACGUAGUCGAACGAAUCCUCACAACUCCAGAUCGAAACCGAAGCUAACGAGAGAAGAAACCCGGAAAGAAACAAAUAACAUAGUAAACAACCAUCACAUACACAUGGCAUGAUGCGCAAACAAGUAUGAUGCAUGUCCGGUUUAAUGAGGCAUGGCAUGGCAAUAUGCAUCAAACAAUACUACAACUUAAGUGGAGCUCAAUAUGCAACGAGUUGCAUAUUGACGAAACACCACAUCAAUUAUUUAGUUCUCUCUCGGUUAUGUACCCAACAAUAUUAAAUGUUGUUAAACAUGGCAAGAGGUGAAGCAUAAGUAAGCUAACUAUUUAGGCAAGUUUAACUGAGGCCGGAACAACAAACAACAAUUCCGGAAAAUCCUCAUAUGCAUAUUUUGAAUUUGGUACUGUUCUGCCCUAAACACAAUUUUAAUGUUGUUAAACAGCAAAAUGAAGUGCGGCAAGUUAAUCUAUGCAUUUUUCUACCCCAUUUGCAUUUAAAGUUUAUUAAAAUCCAAGCUACGAUUAUUUAGUUAUGGAAUAAAUCAUUUUAACAUGUCAUUUAAACAAAUUUAAACAAACAGCAUUUUUAAACAUUUUAACAUGGGAUGAAAGUGGCAUAAUGUGAAACUAGAUAAAAUUCUAAGCACUUUUCAUAUAUAAAUUAUUUACAUAAGAUGCACGAUUGUGGAGUUAUUAAAUGGAUGAAGUUUAGGGGUUUUUCUGUAAAACUGUAAAACCUGGGAUAAAUAGCAAAAAUCGCAGACAGGAAAGAAACUACACUAGACCGAAACUGACUGGCCCAACAGAAGGAGAAAAAAACAGAGGCGGGGCGCUGGGUGUAGCCUCACCCAGUGGGCCUUGACCCGGUCGAUGCAGAGGCUGGAGGAGGCCGGUUCCUGGGCAGGCUAGGCACGCAGCUGGAUCGAGCGAGAUGGGAAGGCGCGGGUCAACGCAGGGCGGCGCGCUCGUCCUCGAAGCAGAGGAAGAAGGGGCGCGACAGCAGGUUGAGGCAGGGGAGGCUGGCGAUGAGGGCUUUGGCGGAGGCAGCGGCGAGGAGAAGGACUCCGGCGAGGGUGAAGCUCCUCCCGUGGACGCAUCAGAGAGAGAGGGAGACGUGUCAGAGAUAGAAGGUGAAGGGGAAGGAAGAAACAGGGGCACGGGCGCGGCUUGGCUCACCGGACCUUCGCCAUAGGCGUGCGGGCACGGCGGCGCUGCCAGAGGAGAUGCCGGCGACGGGGAGGGGCUGGACGAGGAGGAGGGCGCAGCCUCAGACGCUCGCGGGUACAGGGGCGCGCGAAGCAGUUCCUACUGGAGCUCGACGUCGAGGUUGCCGGGGCGG